This 466-nucleotide ribosomal RNA is filed under the name uncultured Klebsiella sp. Its description in RNAcentral is "bacterial SSU rRNA". It matches the Rfam family "Bacterial small subunit ribosomal RNA", at positions 338 to 795 of the family's 1533-position model. The record is from RNAcentral. Lineage: Bacteria; Pseudomonadati; Pseudomonadota; Gammaproteobacteria; Enterobacterales; Enterobacteriaceae.
CCUACGGGUGGCAGCAGUGGGGAAUAUUGCACAAUGGGCGCAAGCCUGAUGCAGCCAUGCCGCGUGUGUGAAGAAGGCCUUCGGGUUGUAAAGCACUUUCAGCGGGGAGGAAGGCGGUGAGGUUAAUAACCUCAUCGAUUGACGUUACCCGCAGAAGAAGCACCGGCUAACUCCGUGCCAGCAGCCGCGGUAAUACGGAGGGUGCAAGCGUUAAUCGGAAUUACUGGGCGUAAAGCGCACGCAGGCGGUCUGUCAAGUCGGAUGUGAAAUCCCCGGGCUCAACCUGGGAACUGCAUUCGAAACUGGCAGGCUAGAGUCUUGUAGAGGGGGGGUAGAAUUCCAGGUGUAGCGGUGAAAUGCGUAGAGAUCUGGAGGAAUACCGGUGGCGAAGGCGGCCCCCUGGACAAAGACUGACGCUCAGGUGCGAAAGCGUGGGGAGCAAACAGGAUUAGAUACCCCGGUAGUC